Molecule: transfer RNA, 72 nt
Filed under: Apaloderma vittatum (bar-tailed trogon)
Lineage: Eukaryota; Metazoa; Chordata; Aves; Trogoniformes; Trogonidae
Rfam family: tRNA
About the family: Transfer RNA (tRNA) molecules are approximately 80 nucleotides in length. Their secondary structure includes four short double-helical elements and three loops (D, anti-codon, and T loops).
Source: Rfam by way of RNAcentral
GGCUGGUUAGCUCAGUCAGUUGAGUAUGGCGAUAACAACGCUAAGGUCGCGGGUUCGAUUCCCAUUCGGUCC